GGGGAAUAUUGCGCAAUGGGCGAAAGCCUGACGCAGCAACGCCGCGUGGGUGAUGAAGGCCUUCGGGUCGUAAAGCCCUGUCGGAGGGAACGAAUGCUCUCGAGGUUAACAGCCUCGAGAGGUGACGGUACCCUCAAAGGAAGCACCGGCUAACCCUGUGCCAGCAGCCGCGGUAAUACGUAGGGACCAAGCGUUGUUCGGAUUUACUGGGCGUAAAGGGCGCGUAGGCGGCAAUUCAAGUCAGCUGUGAAAUCUCCGGGCUUAACUCGGAACGGUCAGCUGAUACUGCUUUGCUAGAGUGCAGAAGGGGCAAUCGGAAUUCUUGGUGUAGCGGUGAAAUGCGCAGAUAUCAAGAGGAACACCUGAGGUGAAGACGGGUUGCUGGGCUGACACUGACGCUGAGGCGCGAAAGCUAGGGUAGCAA
Molecule: ribosomal RNA, 424 nt
Filed under: uncultured bacterium
Lineage: Bacteria
Description: bacterial SSU rRNA
Rfam family: Bacterial small subunit ribosomal RNA
Source: RNAcentral